RNAcentral lists this ribosomal RNA (1343 nucleotides) under uncultured bacterium. RNAcentral's name for it is "16S ribosomal RNA". It matches the Rfam family "Bacterial small subunit ribosomal RNA", at positions 28 to 1381 of the family's 1533-position model. The record is from RNAcentral.
GACGAACGCUGGCGGCGUGCUUAACACAUGCAAGUCGAACGGUAAGGCUCCAGCUUGCUGGGGUACACGAGUGGCGAACGGGUGAGUAACACGUGGGUGACCUGCCCUGCACUUCGGGAUAAGCCUGGGAAACUGGGUCUAAUACCGGAUAGGACCGCACCGUGAGGGUGUGGUGGAAAGUUUUUUCGGUGUGGGAUGGGCCCGCGGCCUAUCAGCUUGUUGGUGGGGUAAUGGCCUACCAAGGCGGCGACGGGUAGCCGGCCUGAGAGGGUGGACGGCCACAUUGGGACUGAGACACGGCCCAGACUCCUACGGGAGGCAGCAGUGGGGAAUAUUGCACAAUGGGCGGAAGCCUGAUGCAGCGACGCCGCGUGGGGGAUGACGGCCUUCGGGUUGUAAACUCCUUUCACCAUCGACGAAGGGUUUCUGACGGUAGAUGGAGAAGAAGCACCGGCUAACUACGUGCCAGCAGCCGCGGUAAUACGUAGGGUGCGAGCGUUGUCCGGAAUUACUGGGCGUAAAGAGCUCGUAGGUGGUUUGUCGCGUCGUCUGUGAAAUUUCCGGGGCUUAACUCCGGGCGUGCAAGCGAUACGGGGCAUAACUUGAGUACUGUAGGGGAGACUGGAAUUCCUGGUGUAGCGGUGAAAUGCGCAGAUAUCAGGAGGAACACCGGUGGCGAAGGCGGGUCUCUGGGCAGUAACUGACGCUGAGGAGCGAAAGCAUGGGGAGCGAACAGGAUUAGAUACCCUGGUAGUCCAUGCCGUAAACGGUGGGCGCUAGGUGUGGGUUUCCUUCCACGGGAUCCGUGCCGUAGCUAACGCAUUAAGCGCCCCGCCUGGGGAGUACGGCCGCAAGGCUAAAACUCAAAGGAAUUGACGGGGGCCCGCACAAGCGGCGGAGCAUGUGGAUUAAUUCGAUGCAACGCGAAGAACCUUACCUGGGCUUGACAUAUACAGGAUCGCGCCAGAGAUGGUGUUUCCCUUGUGGCUUGUAUACAGGUGGUGCAUGGUUGUCGUCAGCUCGUGUCGUGAGAUGUGGGGUUAAGUCCCGCAACGAGCGCAACCCUUGUCUUAUGUUGCCAGCACGUUGUGGUGGGGACUCGUAAGAAACUGCCGGGGUUAACUCGGAGGAAGGUGGGGAUGACGUCAAAUCAUCAUGCCCCUUAUGUCCAGGGCUUCACACAUGCUACAAUGGUCGGUACAGUGGGUUGCCAGUCCGUGAGGGCGAGCUAAUCCCGCAAAGCCGGUCUCAGUUCGGAUCGGGGUCUGCAACUCGACCCCGUGAAGUCGGAGUCGCUAGUAAUCGCAGAUCAGCAACGCUGCGGUGAAUACGUUCCCGGGCCU